Alligator mississippiensis (American alligator) is the source of this 1465-nucleotide long non-coding RNA. RefSeq lists it as hypothetical. The transcript has 5 exons. NCBI's taxonomy places the organism in Eukaryota, Metazoa, Chordata, Crocodylia, Alligatoridae. The record is from RefSeq and is a predicted model, not a curated record.
CCCACAGCAUGAUUUCUAUUUGAUAUUUGCAAGAAGUGAGGUUGUAUUCAGUAAGAUUUUUCCAUUCAAGCCAUUACUAGGUUGUCUGUUUUGUUUUUUACCUACCUGUCUCUACAUUUCUUUUACCUGUUCCUGUUUUUGAUUGAAGUAGUUAUAGAUUAGAUUUUUAAAUGCAUGGGAUACCGAUAUCUUUGCCUUUUGUGUAGAAUUUUGACUAAGGACAAUGUAUUCUUUCAAGUACCUCCAACUCUAAAUGAUCUAAUUUUGUUCUAUGUGAUUUCUAAAUAACUACUGAUAUGUGUUACUAUCGGUGUAUUUUUUGUAUCUGAAAACUGAAUUUUGUGUUUAAUCUUUUGUUGCUGCUUAAAGGAUUUGGGUGGUGUAUUUGCCUUGGAAAGAGUUAGGACAAAGGAACUGUCACACUGAAUUGGAGCUAGUAACAAUUCUUCUCCAAAACUAGUUUUUCUUAUGAUUACAUGUCAGAUAAAAGCCAGACAUAGCGGGAGUCAAACCUGAAGCAUGCUCUUCUAAACUGAAACCAUCAAUAGCAUUCAAACUUAACUUGGCCAACCUUUUUUAAAAUAUUUGUUUAACUCUUACCUUGGGAAUCAGACUUAAUUCAAGAUCCAAAGGUUGCAGAAAACAAAUAGUGUUCUGUUCUUUCAAGAUUUGCAUAUUUGCAAUUGCAGUAGAUAUCCACAUGCCCAUUACUGGGAAUUUUUAAGUAAUCGAUUAUGGAUGUCAUCUGCCCUAGCAUUAAGCUCAGGGAUUUUUGGAAGGGAAGGGUAGGUCAUAAGUGUCAUACAGUGAACAAUCCUUAAUAGAACUGCUGUUGAUAGGUAAUCGAUGGGAUCAGAAAGGUUAAUCUCCCUUAAAAAGGAGCAGAAGAUAAAGUGGGAAUCCAUGCUGACAACUACGUUAAACACUUAAUUAACCAGGAUUACUUAGAGAAGACAGGAACUUCCAACAAAAAUCAUGCUACUUGGGAAAAGAAAUGGUGAGAGGACAAAGAAGCACAGGACAUCCAAAUCCCUUUCUUUAAUCAACAUAUAUCAGGAUACCUUUCUAGAUGUUUAAAAGGCUCUCUACUGAGGGGUGGAGCAGACACUGCAUAUAUAGAAAAAGCCUCAGCUGUAUGAAGACACGGCUGACGAGCCGUGUGGGCUUCUUUCCUCGCUCCAGCUGCGCCACGGUUCCUGCUGCAUGAUACGAGUGAGAGGAGAAGGGGAGACAAGAACAGGAUGCCAUUAUUUCUACAUGGAUGCUUCACCAAGUAGAGAUGCUGCUUUACGAAUCAAAUCCUGGAGAGUUGGUUUCCGUGGGUAUACAGCAUUUGAUAGGCCAGCAUUUUCAUCUCAGCCUAGGCCAGUUGUGACUGACAGCUAUAACCACCUGACAGCUAUUCUAUAGCUUGUGUGUGUCAGAAAAAAAAAAAAAAAAAAAAAAAAAGACCGACCAAUCCGCA